CGCACAUUGCGCCCUUUGGUAUUCCGAAGGGCAUGCCCGUUCGAGCGUUAUUAAACCCAAUCAAGCCUGGCUUGGUGUUGGGUCCCGGGGGCGACCCGGACCCCAAUAUCCCGCCGGCCGAUCGGCCCGUACCCCAGCGUUGUGGCACAUCCGUGGUCCGCUGAGGGGAGGGGGCGAGCGUGCCGUCAUCUUUUUAAUCAAAGGUUAACCUCGGAUCGGGUAGGGAUACCCGCUGAACUUAA
This 242-nucleotide unclassified non-coding RNA is filed under the name Capnodiales sp. RNAcentral describes it as "partial contains 5.8S ribosomal RNA, internal transcribed spacer 2, and large subunit ribosomal RNA". Lineage: Eukaryota; Fungi; Ascomycota; Dothideomycetes; Capnodiales. The record is from RNAcentral.